CUGAUCGGUGAAAAAGAGGGGCAGCAGGUGGAGGGGAAAAUGGUGGUGGUUAUUGUGUUGAGGGAAAGAGAGAGACGAAGUGGAACUUUGGGUGGCCGGAAUUUGGAGAUGGUAGUGGCAUAAGCAAAGGUGAGCGGAGGGUGAUUCGCGUGUUGGAGAAGGUGGUGGAAAGAGAGAAAAAUUUCUCUCCCAUCCUUUUAUUUUUCAAGUAUGUGAGGGAGGAAGAAAAUGGUUCCCUCAACUUGUUUCUAUUCUUAUUUUUUAUUUGUGUUUUUUUUUUAAUUUCUAAGAAAGUGAAUGAGAGAGGUAACAACUGCCUUUCUCACCAGUCCCAAAUGUCUCAACUUAUACUAGCUUUUAGGGUUUUCUAAUUUUAAUCAAAUUCCAAUUCUACCCUUAGACUUUGGUGUGUGAUCAAUUGGGUCUCAAAUUGAUGAAUUAAUAUCACCAUUUAUUUUUAUCAAAAAAC
Molecule: long non-coding RNA, 469 nt
Filed under: Lathyrus oleraceus (garden pea)
Lineage: Eukaryota; Viridiplantae; Streptophyta; Magnoliopsida; Fabales; Fabaceae
Description: Pisum sativum (pea) long non-coding RNA (PSAT_LNC001497)
Source: RNAcentral